CCUACGGGUGGCAGCAGGGGGGAAUAUUGGGCAAUGGGCGCAAGCCUGACCCAGCAACGCCGCGUGAAGGAUGAAGGUUUUCGGAUUGUAAACUUCUGUCGCGAGGGACGAAGAAUGACGGUACCUCGUAAGAAAGCCCCGGCUAACUACGUGCCAGCAGCCGCGGUAAUACGUAGGGGGCAAGCGUUGUCCGGAAUGACUGGGCGUAAAGGGAGUGUAGGCGGCCUUGUAAGUUAGAUGUGAAAUCCCGAGGCUCAACUUCGGAAUUGCCUCUGAUACUGUUCGGCUAGAGAGUAGUUGCGGUAGGCGGAAUGUAUGGUGUAGCGGUGAAAUGCUUAGAGAUCAUACAGAACACCGAUUGCGAAGGCAGCUUACCAAGCUACUUCUGACGUUGAGGCACGAAAGCGUGGGGAGCAAACAGGAUUAGAUACCCCAGUAGUC
This 441-nucleotide ribosomal RNA is filed under the name uncultured bacterium. Its description in RNAcentral is "partial 16S ribosomal RNA". It matches the Rfam family "Bacterial small subunit ribosomal RNA", at positions 338 to 795 of the family's 1533-position model. The record is from RNAcentral.